Molecule: long non-coding RNA, 648 nt
Filed under: Ananas comosus (pineapple)
Lineage: Eukaryota; Viridiplantae; Streptophyta; Magnoliopsida; Poales; Bromeliaceae
Description: long non-coding RNA (ACOM_LNC001439)
Source: RNAcentral
CUGGUUCUAUCGAUGAAGAGACAGACGUAAGCUGGUGUAACAUCCUAAUAGUCACAUAUCGGAUGAAAAAAUAAUUUUGAUUUGGUAUAUAAUUAAGAGACCUCCACACUAGUUCACGCUAGUAAUAAUAACUGGGCUUAAAUAUUUUGGGUCCAACGAGUUAUUAUUGUUAGCGGGCCAGAUCGUUACAAUUGAUAUCAGAUGCGGGGCAUCUGUUAUUUUGUUUGGAUCUAACGAGGACGUCAAGGUCUAAGCUGGGAGAGUUUAUACAUAUAAAAGACUUCCACAUUAGUGCGGGUGUGAGUCGGAUAGGAGGAAUUCUACACUGUCAUACUUACACCAUAUCAUUAAUAACAAGCCAAUCACAUUUCUUCUUUUCAAACAAAAGUACAAUAAAAAUAUUUUUUUACAAUCAUGAUGGGACAUAUAUCCCUAAAAGGAGAUAUUUGAUUGGUUUGUUACGCCACGUCACCAAUAUACCCGUUGCAUUCUAGAAAUUUUCGUCGGAUAGACUUCCACACUAGUGCGGGUCGAAUCAUUACAGCUGAUUCAACUGAUUUCUUAAAAUAUUAUCUGAAUUUUUAAAUUUACAAAAUGUUAACUCAUCAACAGCACUAUUUAAAAACUUUAGUUUUUUGAGAAUAAAAA